This 253-nucleotide ribosomal RNA is filed under the name uncultured bacterium. RNAcentral describes it as "partial 16S ribosomal RNA". It matches the Rfam family "Bacterial small subunit ribosomal RNA", at positions 524 to 776 of the family's 1533-position model. The record is from RNAcentral.
UACGUAGGCAGCAAGCGUUGUUCGGAAUUACUGGGCGUAAAGCGCGUGUAGGCGGCUUGGCAAGUUGGAUGUGAAAGCCCACGGCUCAACCGUGGAAGCGCAUCCAAAACUGCUUCGCUCGAGUCUCGGAGAGGAAGGUGGAAUGCUUGGUGUAGAGGUGAAAUUCGUAGAUAUCAAGCAGAACACCUGCGGCGAAGGCGGCCUUCUGGACGAUGACUGACGCUGAGACGCGAAAGCGUGGGGAGCAAACAGG